Molecule: long non-coding RNA, 5946 nt
Organism: Orcinus orca (killer whale)
Lineage: Eukaryota; Metazoa; Chordata; Mammalia; Artiodactyla; Delphinidae
Exons: 3
Source: RefSeq, a predicted model, not a curated record
CUCUUGAAUGUGUAUGUGAAGGAAGGGUUUCAAUGUUAGACAUACAGUAGGUACCUGAUAAGCACUAACCGAAACUACAGCUGAGCUGCUUGUUCAGGAACUUUACCAACAUGGAACUCAAACAAGAAGGAAAGCAGAGUUAGUGGGGUCUUUGGAACUCUCUUCCCCCGUUCAAAAACGACUUUGUUCUUCUAUGAAUACGACACCAUAGUCAGAGUUACGGAGAGUCUAGAUGUAGGACAGUUAAACCAAACCCCCCAACCCCGCUUUGAUAGCUACAUGUUCUAACAAACAUUCACUACAAAUGUACAAAGUAAGGGAGGCCAACUCUCAGGAGACCCUGGCUGUGGCACAUGUGUUAUCUUUCAGCAGGUGUAACCAUUCAGCGCCAGAAAGGCCUGGAGGAUGAAGAGACAGCACCUCAGGCAGCCUUGCCGGGAGCCACUGGGUUUCAUCCUGGCCUGACCCAGAAAAAUCUUAUGGAAGAGAACAAGAGGCCCAAGAGCCCUCUGAUCUGCUGUCAGCCAGCUGCGGCCGGGAGACUGCCAAAGUGCUGCAGUGACUAGGCAGCGCCCUGCGGAGCCGUCUGGGAGGGGAUUACCAGCCUGAUCCCCUGGUCUUCAGAGCCAGAAAUGACUCAAACUUCACAAACAGCAAGGGCCUGCCAGGGAGGGUGACAAUGAGCACUGGAGAGGGGUUUCUUCCCCUUGUUGGUGUCUCUUCCCCCUCUUGCUGCUAUGGCAGAUUCUGGACAGUGUGCAGCCUGUGAGGUAAUCUGAAUUCCUUGGCAACCGGCAAGUACCUGAAUUCUUUCAAAACCACAGGAAUCCAGCAGAGAAAAGACCAUUUGUGAACAACAGUGGCCCUAGGAUCUUCAUACCAAUUGCCAUUGCAUGAAAAUACAAUGUGACCCUGGAUCCCUGCUGGGAAAGGAAGGCUUUCAUCAAGUUGCUCAGAGAACUUACAGAUCUUUCCACAAUGGAUCCUGGCAUUUUCCCUGUGAAAUGGGAUGGAUAUUUCACUGACUCACUCCAUAGUGCUUGCUAUGCCACUGCAGGUAAAGAAUGAACUAGAUCUUUUAAAUACUUUUUUCAAUGAAGAAGAGCUGUCUAUACAAUAAAUAAUGAUGAGUAUGAUAGGUAUUGUAUAAGGCACUGGGGAUGCAGUGAUGAAUAAAACAAAUGCAAUCCCUGCCCUCACAGAGCCCAAUCCCUACUCGCAAAGAGUUUGAUGUUUGAGUAGAGGGACAGCAAAUACAUAGAAUUUAAAAGAACACAAAGCAGCACACCUACAAGUGCAAGAUGUGAGGCUGCAGAGUGGAAAGAGAUCUGGAAGAACAAUUCCAAAUGAGACUAAAACAGAAAAAUCAGUUGUCAGUCACCACAAUCCAUACAGGACAAAAGAACUCAAAAGGCAAGUGGCUAUAAUGAUAACUGUGAUGAUAACAGCUAUAGUGGCAACAACAGAAACACUAUUAACAUUUGCAGGAAAAAAAUUUUAAUAAAUGUACUGAAGAUUUGUUAUGUGCCAACACUGUUCUAAUCCCUCACAAGUAUUAUUUCAUUUAAUCUUCAUCCAACCCAUGGUAGGUAUAACACCAUCCAAAUAUUACAGAUGAGGGAAGAGUCAGAGAGGGUUAGGAAGCUGCUCCAAGUCCCACAGCUAGUAAGUGAUAGAGCACCAUUUGAACCCAGGCAGUCUGCCUCAGAAGCCUAAUUCUUAAGCACUAUUUGCACCUUUUCUCACAAGUUCUGACCUAAAAUAACUGUCCAGACCUGAAAGUUUGCCUUUAUAAUAAUGCAUUUGCUAUCCCAAGUACUACAGUUAUAAUAAGGAUAAUUGUGUGACCCAUAAUAUCAUACACAACCACAAGAAGCAACUCCGGGGUCAAGAUAACGAGAUUCUUCUCUCAUUUCCCACUGCUGCCAUCUCAAACUCAGAACACAACUUCACAAGCCAUCUCUAUGCAUCAUACGGACACUACAACAUCACUACUGAUUCAUACUCUGGACUUGGUGACCCACACCAUUUCCUGAUCAGUUUCUCACACACACUAUCUCUAUUUUGAGUCAGCUUAGUAUGUAAGAACUGAUGCAAUCACAGUACAAAGAAGUAAGCUGCAGGCUUCCAAACCUAAAAUUAAACAAUUGCAGCUCUUUUUCUACUAAGUAACACCUACAGGCUACAACAGAUAUGUAACCACCCAACUCUACUUGGAACCAGAGACUACAAUGGUAAUGGUCUUCACUCUAUGACACAUCUAACAUCCAUGCCCAUUUCCUCUCUUCUCUUCCUCAUCAUAUACAUUUGUCCUUUGAAUUAUGCAGAACAUAAUCUCUUACAUUAUUUCGGUAACUUUAGUAUUUGUUCAAUGGUCUAUACCUCUCAUUUCUAUCUGCACUAGUAAUUAAACUGUAAGCUCAUGGAAGAAAAGAAUUGUUUGAGUACAGUUUUUUUGUAUAGUGUAAUAUACUGAUAAAUAACUAACGAAAUUUUUGACAUCUUCAAGCCUGUCUCCUUUUCAUCCAUCCCCAAUUAACUCAUUUUAAAUGAUGUCAAUUCUAAGCUCAAAUUGCCCUCCCAAGUAUGCUAAAGCAAGAAGCUGAAUUGUUGGGAAAGUUGGAAACCCAUCCAUUUUUCUAAUUCAACUUUAAGAUUAAAGCUCAUGGUAUCUGUUAAGUUAUUAUAAGGUAGACUGGUACAGUGGUUAAGAGGGCACGCUCUGGAAUCAGCAAGACGAGUUAAAAUCUUCACUUACUAUGGAAGGAAUAGUAACUACCUCUUAGGGUUCUCAUAAAGUCUAAGUGAGAUUAUAUUUGGAAGGUACAGUGGUAAGCACAUAGUAGAUGCUCAAGAAAUAUCAGUUAGUAUUAUUAUUGCAAACUCAAUAGUAUCUAUGUGGUUCCAUUUACUGAGUUCCACAACUCAACAGCACUCCUCACGACGUGCCACACGCCAUUCUGCUCAGAGCAGUGCACUGAUUUAUAAUGAAGAUACAUAAGAAUUAGGAGAUGAUCCCUAUUCCUGAAAAGCCUUUAAGGAGUGGCAGCACCUGGCACACAACAGGGACUCCCUAAAUAUUUGUUGAACAAUGAGAAAAAAUGGAGAGCACCUAAGAAAACAUAAACAAAUAGAAACAAGAGAGCUGUACGGAAUUAUAUUCACAAAUAUAGGAGUGAAAAGAGUGACCAAAAUACUCUCCUGAUACUUCAAAAUCUCAGAGAAAACACUAAUCGUUUAUUUACCAUGAAUAAUGUGUGAGACAAGGAUGACUAAAUUUGACUUCCAUAAAUCAAAUUCAUACCUUAAUCAGAAAACACCAGAUCUUUUCCCUCCUCGAUUUGAAUAUACUAAAUUGGGAAAAUAUGGCAUUUAGUCACGGUUACUGCAGGAGCUGGAGCAAACACAACUCUGUUCCUUUAUGCUGUAUUUUCAGAGCUAAAAGCACAUCAUUAAGAGACCACGUUCGCCAAUCAGCCAAGAUGCUUCCAUCUGUAGGAGCUCACGCUCCUCUCUCUUCAGUAUUACAUAAAAGUAAUCCUUCUUCUAUCCUUUAUCCUAUUCUCAUAGUGGUAAAAGUUGCUACUUGCAGAUAUUUUCCAAAAGGUUAUGACUAUUAUGGGGAAUUUUUAAUAAGAGGCCCUCUCAUUCCUCACUCCAGUGGGAAGACAGGGAAAGAUGUUUUUAUUUGGCCCUCACACCUAACUCUGCCCUCCCUCCCCCAUCCCUCACCCACUCACACUAGCUCUGCUUGCAGACCCUCCACUGGAGCACUCCCUCUCCCUCCCCCUUGAAUCUAAAAGGAAAGCAGGCAGCAGCCUUGGAAAGAGUUACUUCAUCCAGUUGGCUAAUGGGUCACAUAUUCCAUGGGAAAGGAUCCAGGUAUGGAAAAGAGGAGAUGGUUAGGCCUUGUGUGUAAGGAGGGAGAGAAGAGUAUUAACUGCAUGGUUUGUAGGUCUGGGUAAAAGGUGAUAAAAUUCCAGAUUUGGAGAAAAGUGGGAAUAUUUUGCCAUUAUGUCCACAUGCUGCCAGCUCCCCUGGUGCUUGCUGGCAUCUUCCCAGGCUUCUGUCUGGCACUUCCACCAAAGACCUCAAAGAAUCAGACUCAUUCCAAAGCUUCACUGAGCGGGAGGUGGCAGGCAAAGGGUCCUGCCAAGUACUUUGAUCUCUGCAGGGGGUCUCUAGGGAGUCAGCCCAGGGAGAUGUGGGAGGGAGAAGGAGAGCCUGCCAAGUGCAUUCUCUAAAGACUUGUCACCCCCUGUAUGAGACGCGCACGGCAUCCAGGGAAGAGUCAGGGCAUGGGGUUCUCAGCCCCACCAAAGAAAGUUUAACUUUUCUAUUCUUUAUGAUGUUGGUUUUAAAAUAACAAAUCACCAGGGCAAAAGAGCAUUCCAAGAGAAAAAAGUCCCAGAUGAGCUGGGAAUAGAUCCUAUUCUUUUUGACUCAUGUCUAAGAAAAUAAAAAGCAAACUUGUACCACAGUUGACUUUCAAUAGCAAUUCCAUUUGGCAGCUAAAACCCAAACCCAAACUAGUGCCGUCUAUGAGAUUCAAACAACACUGGAGCUCCUGGCACGAAGCUGAAGGAAAAGCUGUUGGACAGGAGCCUUCACACCAAGGUCAGAAGAGAGACAAGAAAAGAGAGAUCCAAGGCUUAUGAGCAGUGCCUUCUGUCACAAGAGACCCAGGGCAAAAGGCCCUCCAGAGUGACCCAGGGUCAGGUAGCAGAACUUGUAGCCUGGGCUUGGGGCUGUAUAGCUACUGCCUCAGAACCAGAUCCUAUAUUUCUUCAGCAUGAAAGGUCUGGCCAUCAGUAUUUACUGUAGAGUUUUUAGUCCAGACUGAAUUUAAGGAUUUUCCCAUAUGAAAGACCCCUUAGAAAGUUAGUUUCUGCACAUAUAGGAAAUAGCUCAGACCAUGUGAAAAGAAAGAGAACUGGGGAAUUUGGGAUGGUGUACCGACCACGCACAUGACAUAUCCGCCUCCCCCUCUUCCCUUCCAGGGUUCCACCGUAAGGACAGAGUAGACAUUUUAUUUAUUUAUUUUUUAAUGUGAUACGCAGGCCUCUCACUGCCGUGGCCUCUCCCGCUGCAGAGCACAGGCUCCGGACACACAGGCCCAGCGGCCAUGGCCCACGGGCCCAGCCGCUCCGCGGCAUGUGGGAUCCUCCCAGACCGGGGCACGAACCUCUGUCCCCUGCAUCGGCAGGCGGACUCCCAACCACUGCGCCACCAGGGAAGCCCCAGAGUAGACAUUUUUAAACGUCUGAAAUGAUAACAAAGCUAGAAAACAGUUAAAGGAGCCAACAAAAGACCAAAGGUUUAAGGAAAUCCUGAAAGACAGAAAGAAGAUAGGAACAGGUUGAGGAAACAGAGCAGAAGAAGCCCAGCCCCAAAUAUCAGAGGUGAGAGUGAUCUUCCCAAGGAGACUUCUGAGAAGUUCCAUGCUGGCAGUGAACUAACACGAAGAGCAAGAGGGAGCCAAUGGACAAGAAUCAGAUAAUUAAUUAAAUAACAAACAGCAUUUAAAACAGUGCGGCCAACAGGCCUUCUUCUCCAGCAACCAAAGCUUUGCCCUCAGGAUGAAACCUAACAACUGUCUUGGGAGGACAUCUUCUGCGGGUGGGCACAGGCAUCCCACAGAGCAGUGGAACUUGAGGCCACUGCAUCCCUACAGCAGACACAAAGGUGAAGAGAGAGGCAAGGUAGCACCGCCCCACAAGGAAAUCACCCAACUCUUCCUUGAUAUCCACAAUCAGGCAGGUCCUGUUUUGGCAAGGGGGAAGGAAGAAGCACGCUUCCUCACCCAUAUCCACCUAAGGUGCGGCCUGACAUUCAACACACUUUGCCCUCACACAAAGCACAGUCAGCCUCCUGUCCAGUGAGAUGUUAUUAGGGAAUCAGUCCUACACAACAGUAGGGGAAACCCAGGCCAGCUGUCAAAAUUUA